UAGACCGGAGCUGUUCCUAUUCGGCCAUCUUGGCUCCUCCCGAUUUUUUAAGCAGAAUUUUUCUUUUCUUAUUGUUGAGUUUUAAGUAUUCUUUGUAUAUUUUGGAGAACAGUCUUUUAACAGGGUGUAAACGGGAUGGCAUCCAUUUGAUUUUCAUUAUUCUGGGACAAAGUUGCUUCCGCCUUCCUUUAAUUAGGAAGUCCUGCAAAGAAUAUCAUGAGUCGCUCUCAAUCCCAACCAGCUGGGUAUUUUAAACACCAAGCACAUUACUCUUCCUCUGGGACAGAUUUCUUUGUAGUCAAUUAGGACUGCCCAUUAAAGUGGCAGAAUAAGCACAGUGCCUGCUGCUAUGAUGUGAUGGGCCGUGGGAAACACUUUUCGCCUAAAAUCACCUCCUGCAAUGGCCUACUUAAGGCAUUUGAUUCACCUAUGUUAACAAAUUCAACCUUAGGAUUCCAAGACCACUUCCCAUCCUGCUGGGGUUUGGCUGGCUCAGAAAACUGGUGCACAGAUCUUCUUUGUUCCUCCAGCUGAACUCAAAUACAAACCUUCAUCCUGAUGAGAUAACGGGCAAUCUGUGUUUUGUCCCACUCCAUUGCUGUAUAUGCAAUCAAGGGGGCUUGUACGUCUCUAUCUUUUGCCAUGGGACAAAGUGCCUUCCUGGAGAAGUUGUUUUUCUCCUAUUGACACCAGGAUUGGCCUAAGGACUUGUGUUGGUCAAGGAAAUAGAUGGAGUUUCACCAUGUAGCCCAGGCUGGUCUUGAACUCCUGGGCUCAAACAAACCACCUGCCUCAGCCUACCAAUGUGCUGGGAUUAUAGGAGUGAGCCACCACACCUGGCGUUAUCUGAGCUUCUUAGUAUGUGCUCCAUCCAUGUAUCAUUCAGAGGUGGAACUCACAUUUCUUCCAAUUUAAGCUGCACCUCCUCAGUGAUGUGGCCCCCCUAAUAGUCCUCUACACAGUGACCCCUCCUCCUUUGGAAUCGUUAUUGUCAUUUGGAACCAUAGUAGCUUGUCUCCAAAGAUGGCCUUCCAGUAACUCAUGCUUCCUGAUGAUCAGGCCCUAAAUAGGUUGUCCUUGUGACUUCCAUCUUGACCCAUAGAAUGUGGUGGAAGUAGCAUUGGAUGACGUCCAAGGUUAGUUCAUAAAAAGCCUUGUGGAUUCUUCCUCAGCCUCUAGAAACACUUGCUCUUGGAGCGUAUGCUUUGAGGAAAUCCAAAUGUCAUAUGAGAUGCCUGAGACCACCUAUCUCAGACUAUUGUGGGAGAGACUACUGUGCUGUGAAGAAGUACAAAGUAGCCAUGUGAAGAUACCAUACGGAGAAAGACAGAUGCCUAGGUAGCCCCUAGCUGUGCCAGCCAUCCCAUCAGAAUCACCACACAUAAGAGUAAAGGAAUCAUUGUGGAUGUCCAGCCUAGUCAAGCCUGUAGAUGAUUCCAGUUCCAGUUGCCAUCUGUCAGUAACUGCCUGAGACCCAAGACAAGAACCACCCAGCUUAGCCCAGUAAAUCCACAGAAUCACGUGUUAUCAUGAUAAUAAAUUGUUUUUUUAAGCAACUAAGA
Molecule: long non-coding RNA, 1562 nt
Filed under: Homo sapiens (human)
Lineage: Eukaryota; Metazoa; Chordata; Mammalia; Primates; Hominidae
Description: HSALNT0016735
Source: RNAcentral